This is a long non-coding RNA of Papaver somniferum (opium poppy), 2190 nucleotides long. RefSeq lists it as uncharacterized. Lineage: Eukaryota; Viridiplantae; Streptophyta; Magnoliopsida; Ranunculales; Papaveraceae. The record is from RefSeq and is a predicted model, not a curated record. The transcript is spliced from 10 exons.
UCAAUCGCUGCCGCUGCUGCUUCUUUCUCUACUGCUUCUCUUUCUUCUUAAAAAAAAACACGAAGAUUCAUCAACAAAAUCCAUGAAAAACAUCAAAUCUUCUCUACUCUCUUCAUCAACACCAACUAAAAAUGAAGAUUCAUCAAAAAUUAUGUCAACAACAUCUUUCCUUGAUGAUUUGUUCUGAAUCGACGAAGAAAUGUGAAUUCUAGGGAUUUAUCAAAUGGGAAUUUCAGGGAUUUAUCUUUAAUCUUGAAGAAGUUGUUGUUACGAUUGUACUCUGUUACUCAUAGUAUUCUGUUGAAUGUAGUAUGAAUUUCAUUAUUUUAUUUUUUUGAUUGGUUUCAUCUGGUAAUUAGGGUUUUCAACUGCUCAAAUUUUUUAGAACCUCAAAUUUUAUUACUUGUUUAGAAAUUUGGGAAUUUCUUAGUCAGUUUCAUAUUGUUUUUAGUUUCGAAAAUAACCCACCGUUUAGAAAUUAUCAUAUAACAUUGUUCCAGUAGUAAUUUCAGCAAAAAGAAAAGAAAAUAAUUAUGAGCUCAAACUAUUUGUUAAAUUGUUUUAAUGGAGCUGUAAUACUUCAAUUUGAGUUCCCAUAACUAAUUCUUGCUUUAGGGGUUGAACCGUUGAUUUGUUCAGUGUGGGUGUUGAUGAGAUUGGUUUUUUCUUUAGUGUGUGUAGAAAAUGGGGGAUAAAGAGAAUGGAGAUGAGGACUUGCCCAUUGUUACUUAUAUUUGUGCAGUUAUAGAAGAGUUGAAGGAGAUAUGUUGAGGAAAUGAAUAUAAAUGAUGCGUCUGGGAACGACCAAAAAGACCGGUUAGUAGAGGAUAAUUCUGGCAGUCAUGAUCAACAGUCUUUGUUCGACACAAUUGAAGACAUGUUAUAUCAUUUACAAGUUAUUAUCUAUUAAUGCCAAAGGGGAAAAUGGGUAACAGUCUUCAAUGUAUGUUCAGUUGAAAAGAGAACAAAAAAGCAACAGUUGCUGCUGUUGGAGGUGGUUUUGAUUUGCCAAUGGUUUGUGAUUCUGCUUGCGAUAUAUUAUGUGUUCGCUGUGGAUUAAGGGAUGAAAAUAUGUGGCUGGUGUUGUUGGUGGAUGACCUGCUCUUUUAAGUCAAUUUACAGAGGCACAACAGGGAUUGUGCAUUAUACAAACUAUGAUGACAUGAAGUAUGUUUUAAGUACAUGAUCAAAUGCUUAUAGCUCUAAGCCAUUAGCAGAAAUGUCAGAUGAAGACCUUAUGUAAGCUUUUUGAGACUGAUGUUUCGUAACUAAGCAUGCGAUGUGUCAUAUAAGACGAGACAAUUUCCUUUUGCAGUGAAGUCAUAGCGAUGAAUACUCUUGGUUUAUUGAUAUAUUGUAGAGAGGCAAUGAAGUUGAUGCUCAAUCAGCCUCGAGAGGUCAUAUGUUUAACAUUGAUGGAGCUGGUUCAGAUGGAAUGCCAACUCCAAGCUGGGGAUGGUUACAACUGAUCUUCGUAUGUCUGGGGCCAUGAUGAAGCAGGUCGAAUACAGAACUUUCUCCACUUGAUCUGAUGCAGGGGCAUGAUCUUUCUCAGAGGAUCUUAAUCUUGAGACUGGCCCAUAUCCUUAAUUGCAUGCUAAGUUUUUCAUUAACAUCAUGGAAGAACCAGCUGAAGUGGUUACAGAAUAUCUUGUUAUGAAGCCCACUUACGUUCGUUUCCUCACUGGGUUGAAAGCAUAUUCCCAGAUAUCUCAGUUGGAUGUUGGAGAUGGCGAAGAAGCAAGUCUUGAAAGGUACCCAAGGAGCACACUUUAACAUCAAUGCAUCGAUUAUCUUGGACCAGGAGAGUUUAAUGCUAAUGGGAUGCCUCUAGUUCUUUGUUGGCUUCUUGCUUCGACGAUGGAAUGUUGCAGUAGAAGCUGCAGUUGAAAUUGUUGAAUGGCUACAAUCAAUAAUCGUCAAUGGAAGUUAGAUAUUGAAUCAGUUUGUCGAACAACAUAAGACGAUGCUUGUCCUACCAGUGAUGAGAAGCAGUCUGUUAAGUUCCGGCUUUGCCUUCGAUGCGCUUGGUCUUAAAAAAUGGAUUCAGGUUAACUUCUUCGGGUUAUGAUAAACUAGGUCCACUAUCCAUGUAUAAAUCUCAAGAUAGAACAUUGUAUGUCUCUAACUGUGAUACUUAAAGUUCACAUUGAGAUUUUUUUAUAUAUAUAUAUAAAAUUCUUUGAUAAA